CAUUCAUGGAUUGAAGGAAUACAGUGUCUCACAAACAGUGGAACAUUGUUCCUGAGAGAUUUGGGUGAGAGUUGUCCCCAGAAUCCAGCAAACCAUGAGGUUGGCAGUUCUAAGUGCGCUGAAGCACUAAGGACCAGUAUAAUAUUUCACACAGGAAGCCAUCCCACUGACAUUCCAGGAGGACAUGAAGUGAUAUUUUCAGAUAGCUGAUGCCUAUAUACCAGGAAGUUCCCAGCAUUUUAUAGUUAUCAGCUUCUUAAAGCUCACAACAUUCUGUGAGGUACUGUCACUGCCCUCAUCUUAAAGACGAGGAGAUUGAUGUGGAGGUUCUUGUUCAUUCUUGCUCAUGAAACCUUUCUGUAUACCGGAAGUGCAUAAUAGAGGAAAGGCUCAGUGGAAUGGAGGAAGAGAGAUAAUCAUAGAAACCCACAUUGAGCUAAAUGACCCCUGGGAUGCAAUUUGAAGAUGAGUAUUCCAAAUUAUUUUUUCUCUGUCCAGAUGAUAGACUAAUAAGGGAAUCAAUCAAUCAGUCAAUCAAACUCAAUCAAUAAGAACCGAGCAAGGCUCAUCUGAGCAAUGAUGGAUGGUACUUGAAAGUGAAUUAGUGACUGAUUUGGAGAGAUUUCAGAGAGGUAGAGCUAACAGUGGCAAAUCAAGUUAACUUGUAUAUAUUGCUGACAGGAUGUGGGCUGGGCAAUAGCAAAUUCUUUCCAAUAGCCUCCAACUGCUUGUGAAGCUGACCUAGAGGCUGCUUCAAAUCUGAUAGAUUGAAACAAUUCCAUCUGAAAUCAUUUUUUCAGCCUUGUAAUUUUUGUAAUAAUAUGUAUCAAGCCUAGAAACCUGCAUUUAAGCAUCUGAAUACAUCUGAACAGAGGCAAACAAUUCCCAACAAUGCCUCCAUGACAAUAUGCUGUUGGUUGCUAAUUGGAAAAAAGCACAAGUAGUAAUUGGAAGGCAUUCUGUUGCUUGCUGGAAGGCUUCUCCCCUAAAUGGUUAAAAUAUUCAGCUUUAUAGGGUAACAACCUGAUUUAAAUUUUUGGAGUGUUGCGUUAGCAAUGCAUAUUUACUUUUUUUUUUUUUUUUUUCAGUCAUGUAGGAUGUGUGCACCAGCUUAAAAAUCAAGUCAUGCUCCAAAUGGUUACUAAUAUGGCCACUCCUGGGACCUCCUCUUUACUCCCUCUAGAGAUGAAAUCCCUCUCGUGUCAAUUCACCUCAAUGCCUAUCUAAGCCACUGCCCUUCCUCCCAGUCCUUUUCAGGCCAUGGUGCCAGCAGGCUCUUUUCCCCAGGUGUUGACAAUCAACCCUUCAGCAAGAUGAUUGCCAAACAGAAGAGGAACAUUUUGUAAUGCAUCCUGAAAGAAUGUCAAACCCAGACUUUUAGAAAAUUCAGAAAUGAGGAUUACAGCACCUAUUAAUGCAUAAUAAUGUGGAAUGUGGACUGAAGAUACUGCCAAGAGGUGCUGACCCAGAGGACCAUUUCAGAGUCUACUCCAGAGGACUUCCUGUCUCUUCCCCUUGUUACCUUUCCUUCUUUCCAGACUGGCAGUGGUAUGGAAUGCAAUCUUUCUAAUUUGUUUCCCCUUUCA
This is a long non-coding RNA of Lynx canadensis (Canada lynx), 1586 nucleotides long. RefSeq lists it as uncharacterized. The record is from RefSeq and is a predicted model, not a curated record. NCBI's taxonomy places the organism in Eukaryota, Metazoa, Chordata, Mammalia, Carnivora, Felidae. The transcript has 6 exons.